This 77-nucleotide transfer RNA is filed under the name Deltaproteobacteria bacterium. RNAcentral describes it as "tRNA-Arg". It matches the Rfam family "tRNA". Rfam says of the family: Transfer RNA (tRNA) molecules are approximately 80 nucleotides in length. Their secondary structure includes four short double-helical elements and three loops (D, anti-codon, and T loops). Further hydrogen bonds mediate the characteristic L-shaped molecular structure. tRNAs have two regions of fundamental functional importance: the anti-codon, which is responsible for specific mRNA codon recognition, and the 3' end, to which the tRNAs corresponding amino acid is attached (by aminoacyl-tRNA synthetases). tRNAs cope with the degeneracy of the genetic code in two manners: having more than one tRNA (with a specific anti-codon) for a particular amino acid; and 'wobble' base-pairing, i.e. permitting non-standard base-pairing at the 3rd anti-codon position. RNAcentral also lists the same sequence under 2 other names. The record is from RNAcentral. Lineage: Bacteria; Pseudomonadati; Myxococcota; Myxococcia.
GCGCCAGUAGCUCAGUUGGAUAGAGCGCCGGACUACGAAUCCGUAGGUCGGGGGUUCGAAUCCCUCCUGGCGUACCA